RNAcentral lists this ribosomal RNA (441 nucleotides) under Triticum aestivum (bread wheat). Its description in RNAcentral is "partial small subunit ribosomal RNA". The record is from RNAcentral. Lineage: Eukaryota; Viridiplantae; Streptophyta; Magnoliopsida; Poales; Poaceae.
AUGAAUGUAGCAACCGGCGCCAUUGGCGACCUGCUCCCCAAGCUGAUCGAGCUCCUCAAGAAGGAGUACAUGCUGAAGGACAAGGUCAGGGAAGGCGUCGAGUCUCUUGAGAAAGAGAUGAGGAGCAUGCACGCUGCCCUCCGCAAGGUGGCGGAGGUGCCACGGGAGCAGCUUGGCGAGCAGGGGAAGGCUCGCCAUGAGAUCGCUGAUGCACUCAAGGAGAUUAGUAACCAAACCCAAGAGGUCGCUGACAGGCAUGUUAGGUACAAUGUCGGCGGCACGGUGCUUCGCCUAGCCAAAGACCUCGCUGAGAACAAUCGCGGCGCGCGCGUGCUGGUGGUCUGCUCGGAGAUCACCGUGGUGACCUUCCGUCGACCGCACGAGUCCCACCUCGACUCGCUGGUUGGUCGGCACUCUUCGGUGACGGUGCAGCCGCGCUAA